UCCACCAUGAUGGCCCCACCCAUAGCUGUCGCGGUCCCGGCGCGGACCCCUGGCGUGCUCCACCAUGACCCGCUCUCCACACAGCUCUUUA
This is a long non-coding RNA of Sinocyclocheilus rhinocerous, 91 nucleotides long. RefSeq lists it as uncharacterized. The transcript has 3 exons. The record is from RefSeq and is a predicted model, not a curated record. Lineage: Eukaryota; Metazoa; Chordata; Actinopteri; Cypriniformes; Cyprinidae.